AACGGUGAAAAAAAAAUCACGGGAGACAUUCUUACAGUCCAGAGACAGCAGUGGGUUUGUCAAUAUCAGUGGAGAGAAAGAUUCCAGAGAGGGAAAAUGCUGCAAAAGACACAGUGACUUGCUGGAUACACCUGAAAAUGUAGAAUAUCAGUUCUAGAGCUAAAAAGUCACCACCAUGACUGAACAUAUUUCUACUACCCCCAAAUUCUCCACUUAGCGUACUUUUUAUUUCUUUUCUCUUUAGAACAAAGUAAAAAACAAAUCUCAAUUUUAGGAACCAAUGAAAAAUGUAAUUCAUUCUACAGCUGACUUGGCUUGACCAUUCCUCUCAUAGAAUGUGAAAGAAGAGCCGGAAAGCACAUCUGGUUACCUACUCUAAUGGGUGCAGAAAUGGAUCUAACAGGAAGGGGAAGCCAUAUAAUACUCCCCAAGAAUGUUUAAAAGAGGAUUCUUCAGCAUUUCAUGGAAAACAGGAGUCUUAAGGGAACAUCCUAGGAACAUAAGGAAAGAGAUGCUAUUUUAUUCAAAGCUGAAACCAGACCCACCUGCUAUUAAAUAUAUAUGUAAGUUUAACUUAUAGAUCUAGACAUCUAAAGUAACUAAAGGACUCUCGUAAAGUACUUGUAUUGGCAUACUUCAUGGCCUCCAUUUUGUGCCUGCAAUUCUGUACUAAUUGGUAUUGACCAGCAAAAUUAUACAUAUUCCCUUCACCCCAAAUGAUAGCUUUGCUCACAC
RNAcentral lists this long non-coding RNA (735 nucleotides) under Callithrix jacchus (white-tufted-ear marmoset). RNAcentral describes it as "lncRNA (ENSCJAG00000066634.2)". The record is from RNAcentral. Lineage: Eukaryota; Metazoa; Chordata; Mammalia; Primates; Cebidae.